GAAAUGCGAAAAGUAAUGCGAAUUGCAGAAUUCAGCGAGUCAUCGAGUUUUUGAACGCACAUUGCGCCCCUUGGUAUUCCAUGGGGCAUGCCUGUUCGAGCGUCAUUUGUACCCUCAAGCUCUGCUUGGUGUUGGGUGUUUGUCCCGUCUCCGCGCGUGGACUCGCCCCAAAGUGAUUGGCAGCCGGCGUACUGGUCCCGGAGCGCAGCACAUGUCGCGCAAACGAGUGCCUUGGUACGGCGGCGUCCAUAAGCCCCUCUCUCACGCUCUUGACCUCGGAUCAGGUAGGGAUACCCGCUGAACUUAAGC
RNAcentral lists this unclassified non-coding RNA (309 nucleotides) under plant metagenome. RNAcentral describes it as "partial contains 5.8S ribosomal RNA, internal transcribed spacer 2, and large subunit ribosomal RNA". The stretch from base 1 to 105 matches the Rfam family "5.8S ribosomal RNA", at positions 50 to 154 of the family's 154-position model. The record is from RNAcentral.